Molecule: ribosomal RNA, 254 nt
Filed under: uncultured bacterium
Lineage: Bacteria
Description: partial 16S ribosomal RNA
Rfam family: Bacterial small subunit ribosomal RNA
Source: RNAcentral
UACGGGGGGGGCAAGCGUUGUUCGGAAUUACUGGGCGUAAAGGGCUCGUAGGCGGCCAACUAAGUCAGACGUGAAAUCCCUCGGCUUAACCGGGGAACUGCAUCUGAUACUGGAUGGCUUGAGUUCGGGAGAGGGAUGCGGAAUUCCAGGUGUAGCGGUGAAAUGCGUAGAUAUCUGGAGGAACACCGGUGGCGAAGGCGGCAUCCUGGACCGACACUGGACGCUGAGGAGCGAAAGCCAGGGGAGCAAACGGG